This 1899-nucleotide long non-coding RNA is filed under the name Homo sapiens (human). RNAcentral's name for it is "non-protein coding lnc-NBN-1:33". Lineage: Eukaryota; Metazoa; Chordata; Mammalia; Primates; Hominidae. The record is from RNAcentral.
AUUCUGAGCUCUUAAGCAUGCCAGGAGCAGAUGCCUGAUUUUACUGUGUGGCACUUUGUGGCCCAGAAACUUUCCAGAUUCUGUAUUUUCCUAUCUGGUUAAAUGUAACUGUAUUUACCUGUGUUUCAAAGCCUGAAUGCUUUAUUUAUUCUCUACUUAAUUUUCUUUUCCAGUUUUUCCUAACAAGCUUCCCUAGAUUUACUUGUUCUCACUUCCUAGACGCUAUUUGUAUUCUUCCUUCUUCUCUAGUUCAUUGGAAAUUUCUGCUUCUUUGAGACUGAGGUUAUAUUCCACUUCUUCUGACUACACCACCACCAUCAAUCUCCUUCUCUGAACUCUUGGAUCAUUACUUCAACCUGAAACAACUCAUCAGGCAGAAUAGUUGCCUACUGCCCCAACCCCACCAAAUGUUCCAGCACCUCUGAUAUUACCUCACAUGGCAAGAGGGCUUUGAAGAUGUGAUUGAGUCAAGGAUCUUGAAUGGGGAGAUUAUCCUGAAUUAUUCAGCUGGACCCAGUGUAAUCACAAAGGUUUUUCAAAGAUGGAAGAGAGGCAGAAGAGCCAGAAAAGGAUAUGUGACAAUGGAGUCAGUGUCAGAGUUGGAGUGACGUGAUGUGAGAAGGAUUCAACCUGCUGUUUCUGGCUUUGAGGAUGAAAGAAGGGGCCAUGAGCCAAGCAAUACAGGUGGCUUCUUUCAAGAAGUUGGAAAAGUGGUAAUAUUUUAUGUUAUUUUGGUUUGAUUUUUGUUUGUGGCAUAUGGCUCUGCUGUCCUGUGACUCUAAGUAGAAGAGAAAAUAGUGCCAAUAAUUCUUCAUGGAGAUGCACCUCUCUCAAGUCUUGAACAAUGUUUGAGGAAACAUUGCAGCGUUAUAAGAGAAAUUAUAGACUAUUUGUUGAAGCUCAGCAUGUCCAUCUCCCUGCUUUGAAGAAGGAUGUUGGGAACUGACUGUAAGGAAGACAGGAUUGGAGAACCAGGUUUAGAAGAGAAAAGGCAGUGCCAGAAGUUUUUGAUUGGAGAAAACUACAGGGUAAUGUUGCACAAGAACCAUUGCUGAUCUUGACAUCUAUGGUUCUUCAUUGUUCAGGACACAGCUGAAGUAUUACCUUUCCCAAGAGAUCUUACAUGACAAUAACCACCCCUGUCCUAUGUUUUGGUAUCAAGAUGAAGCUGACCUCAUAGAAUGAGUUGAAGAGUAGUCCCUCCUCCUCACUUUCUUGGAACAGUUUCUGUAGGAAUGGAACCAGCUCUUCUUUGUACAUCUGGUAGAAUUUGGCUGUGACUCCAUCAGGUCCUGGGCUUUUUUUUUGGUUGGUAGGCUAUUUAUUACUGAUUCAAUUUUGGAGCCCAUCAUUGGUCUGUUAAGGGAAUCAAUUUCUUCCUGGCUCAGUCUUGGGAGGGUGUGUGUGUCCAGGAAUUUAUCAGUCUCUUCUAGAUUUUCUAGUUUGUGUGCAUAGAGGUGUUUUUAGUAGUUUCUGAUGGUUGUCUUUAUAUCUGUUGGGUCAGUGGUACCAUUCCUUUCAUCAUUUUUAAUUGUGUUUAUUUGGAUCUUCUCUUUUGUCUUAUUAGCCUAGCUAGUGGCAUAUCUAUUUUAUUAAUUUUUUCAAAAAACCAAUUCCUGGAUUUGUUGAGAUCUCUACAAUAAGCAUUACAAAACACUGCUGAAAGAAAUCAGAGAAGACACAAACAAAUGAAAAAAACAUCUCUUGCUCAUGGAUAGGAAGAAACAAUAUUAUUAAAAUGGCUAUACUGCCCAAAGUAAUUUACAGAUUCAUUGUUAUUCCUAUCAAACUGCCAACAAUAUUCUUCAAAGAACUAGAAAAAACUAUUUUAAAAUUCAUAUGGAUCUAAAAAAGAGCCUUAAUAGCCAAGGCAAUCCUAAACAAAAAGAAAAAGCUGGA